UGUACCUAAAUUAAUUGAUUGACAUCAUGGAAUUUCAAGAGUCUCUAAAAUAAUAUUUUGUUCAAUUCUAGAAUCUUUUAGAAAAUCUGACAAAUUAAAACUUUCCAACUCCAGUUCCAUAGUACUAACAUGAUUACCAUCUUGUCUAUUCAUCCAAUAUGCAAUUAUAUGAUCAAAAUCGUCAAUAACAUCUGAAGGAACUAAGUACUCUCCCGGUCCCCUGUACUAGUAUUUCAUUCUAAUGUGUUCAACAACUUACCUUUAAUCAGCAUUAAUUGC
RNAcentral lists this long non-coding RNA (279 nucleotides) under Physcomitrium patens. RNAcentral describes it as "long non-coding RNA (PPAT_LNC012888)". Lineage: Eukaryota; Viridiplantae; Streptophyta; Bryopsida; Funariales; Funariaceae. The record is from RNAcentral.